This 1112-nucleotide long non-coding RNA is filed under the name Junco hyemalis (dark-eyed junco). Its description in RNAcentral is "lncRNA (ENSJHYG00000014274.1)". The record is from RNAcentral. Lineage: Eukaryota; Metazoa; Chordata; Aves; Passeriformes; Passerellidae.
AUUAUACUACUUCUCUACUCCAGGGACACAUGGAAAUUAUAAAGCUGGAGACCAGACUGGAAGAUUUCUUGCCACAGUGACAUUCCAACUGCACACAGAAGGCUUGAGUGAGCAACUGAGAAAACAGAGAUGAUAAAAAGUAUCUAGCAAGUUGCUAACUUAUUUGUGCAGACAAGAUAUUUCUGCCGGUACCCCUACCUGGUGGACUGUGCAUGGGAUUCAGUGGAAGUUCUACAUUAGAGGAUGUGGGUAGAAGAAACAGGCCCCUCAAAUUUGGGGUGUCUGUUUUCAUCCUGCAUGAAAGAAAGGAGAUUUUUGCCUGCAACCAUUCAGCUGUGUCCAGCUCCAAGACUGAAAGGAGCUGUGUAAUGAAUGCAAAGUAUCUGAUCAUCAAAACCUGCCUCCAGCCCAGGACUCAGGAGGGGGAAGAGAAGUAAACUUGCUUAGUUUGGACUCUGAGAGGCUCCCUGUUUCUUUUUAGUUCUGCUGGGCAGUUGGUGGGGCUCAGAGGGCUCUGCUAACCCUCUCCUCUGCUGCUUCAGAACUGCUUUUCUCUUAAGACACACUUUGAAUAUAUCCUCACCAUUUUGUCCCAGGAUGGCCAUGCAGGCAAAGUCAAACUGGGACAAUGUUUUGUACAAAACACAGUACAUGAUGUGUUGGGAAUUUAGUGGCUGAAAGACUGCUUGUUCACUUUUUACUCAUGUGUGCUUCACUGAACUUGCUCUUGAUUUAUAGCUGGAUCAGCAAAAUCAGAAUCAGACCCUUGCUGCUCAUUUUUGUGGGAGCAGGACUGGGCCUCCUGUGCUCUUGUGCUCAUUAUAUAUCUCAGCAACAAGUCUCUCAGCUUUGAUUCAUAGAGCUCUCUUUAAUUUGGUACAUGCAGCCUUCCAGACUAGAUCACAUAGCAGCAGGAUAACAAUCCUCAGGAGAGCAUUUCAGUUUGAGAAAUUCAUGAAGAGGGUGACUUUGCUGCUUACCUUCAAUGACACUUGUGGAAUAGGAAAGAGAAGAGUGAAUGAAAUGGAAUUGCCGGCCUGUUUCAAAAUGUAUGCUCUGUUAUCCAGCAGAUGACAAAUAGCAUCCUCAAUAAAGUAAUUCUGGGAGCUGUG